RNAcentral lists this ribosomal RNA (484 nucleotides) under uncultured bacterium. RNAcentral's name for it is "partial 16S ribosomal RNA". It matches the Rfam family "Bacterial small subunit ribosomal RNA", at positions 30 to 507 of the family's 1533-position model. The record is from RNAcentral.
AUUGAACGCUGGCGGCAGGCCUAGCACAUGCAAGUCGAGCGGAUGAAGGGAGCUUGCUCCUGGAUUCAGCGGCGAACGGGUGAGUAAUGCCUAGGAAUCUGCCUGGUAGUGGGGGAUAACGUCCGGAAACGGGCGCUAAUACCGCAUACGUCCUGAGGGAGAAAGUGGGGGAUCUUCGGACCUCACGCUAUCAGAUGAGCCUAGGUCGGAUUAGCUAGUUGGUGGGGUAAAGGCCUACCAAGGCGACGAUCCGUAACUGGUCUGAGAGGAUGAUCAGUCACACUGGAACUGAGACACGGUCCAGACUCCUACGGGAGGCAGCAGUGGGGAAUAUUGGACAAUGGGCGAAAGCCUGAUCCAGCCAUGCCGCGUGUGUGAAGAAGGUCUUCGGAUUGUAAAGCACUUUAAGUUGGGAGGAAGGGCAGUAAGUUAAUACCCUGCUGUUUUGACGUUACCAACAGAAUAAGCACCGGCUAACUUCGUG